CUUAAUUACACCAAGACAUCAUUUUCAUCCAAUUUCCUAAUAAAAAUUUGUAAAAUAAUGAAUAUAGCCUCAUAUUUAAAUAAAACAAAAUGAAACUAGAUGAAAAAUAAGGAACUAAUUGUAACCAUAACCCAAUUUUUUUUUUUUUUUUAAAAAAAGGUGCAAAUAAAUGUCAAAUAAAUUAUUAAAAAAUUGGGAAAAAAAAUUUCUCCUCCUCCUCCACCUUGGAAAAUGCAAAGGCCAAUUCCUCUUAAACUGAUUUUACUCCACCCCACCCAGUUCAAGCGCGACAAAGAUGGGGGUUUCACCGUAUUAGCCAAUUAUAUAGGAGCACUCGACAAGCGGCAGAACCCUAAACCCAAAAAAUUCACCAUGACAUCUCUGGUGAUAUCCAAGGAAUCAGAAAAAAUAGCCAUGAUAACUCCUAUAGUGACCAAAAUAGCUGGAAAUGACAAAUUGAUGACUAUGCAGUUUAUACUGCCGUCAAAACACACCACGGCGGAGAGGCGUCGGUGGAUGAACGAGCGGUGAUAAGGGAGGAGGGAGAAAGGAAAUACGGGGUGGUGUUGUUUAGUGGGCUGGCUAGUGAUAAGGUUGUGGCAGAGAAGGUGGAGAAUUUGAAGAAAUUGUUGGCAAGAGAUGGGUACAAGAUGAGUGCCGUGGGG
This 665-nucleotide long non-coding RNA is filed under the name Olea europaea subsp. europaea. Lineage: Eukaryota; Viridiplantae; Streptophyta; Magnoliopsida; Lamiales; Oleaceae. The record is from RNAcentral.